CUGGAAAGAUGAAUCAAAGAAGGUAAUAAUCCUGUAGUCGAAAAUGUUGUCUCUCUUGAGUGGAUCCUGAGUACGACGGAGCACGUGAAAUUCCGUCGGAAUCUGGGAGGACCAUCUCCUAAGGCUAAAUACUCUCUAGUGACCGAUAGUGAACCAGUACCGUGAGGGAAAGGUGAAAAGCACCCCGGAAGGGGAGUGAAAUAGAACCUGAAACCGUGUGCUUACAAGUAGUCAGAGCCCGUUAAUGGGUGAUGGCGUGCCUUUUGUAGAAUGAACCGGCGAGUUACGAUUUGAUGCAAGGUUAAGCAGUAAAUGUGGAGCCGUAGCGAAAGCGAGUCUGAAUAGGGCGUUUAGUAUUUGGUCGUAGACCCGAAACCAGGUGAUCUACCCUUGGUCAGGUUGAAGUUCAGGUAACACUGAAUGGAGGACCGAACCGACUUACGUUGAAAAGUGAGCGGAUGAACUGAGGGUAGCGGAGAAAUUCCAAUCGAACCUGGAGAUAGCUGGUUCUCUCCGAAAUAGCUUUAGGGCUAGCCUCAAGUGAUGAUUAUUGGAGGUAGAGCACUGUUUGGACGAGGGGCCCCUCUCGGGUUACCGAAUUCAGACAAACUCCGAAUGCCAAUUAAUUUAACUUGGGAGUCAGAACAUGGGUGAUAAGGUCCGUGUUCGAAAGGGAAACAGCCCAGACCACCAGCUAAGGUCCCAAAAUAUAUGUUAAGUGGAAAAGGAUGUGGCGUUGCCCAGACAACUAGGAUGUUGGCUUAGAAGCAGCCAUCAUUUAAAGAGUGCGUAAUAGCUCACUAGUCGAGUGACACUGCGCCGAAAAUGUACCGGGGCUAAACAUAUUACCGAAGCUGUGGAUUGUCCUUUGGACAAUGGUAGGAGAGCGUUCUAAGGGCGUUGAAGCAUGAUCGUAAGGACAUGUGGAGCGCUUAGAAGUGAGAAUGCCGGUGUGAGUAGCGAAAGACGGGUGAGAAUCCCGUCCACCGAUUGACUAAGGUUUCCAGAGGAAGGCUC
This 1017-nucleotide ribosomal RNA is filed under the name Staphylococcus aureus. RNAcentral's name for it is "partial 23S ribosomal RNA". It matches the Rfam family "Bacterial large subunit ribosomal RNA", at positions 342 to 1367 of the family's 2925-position model. Lineage: Bacteria; Bacillati; Bacillota; Bacilli; Caryophanales; Staphylococcaceae. The record is from RNAcentral.